GUGCCACUUCGGCAGCACAUACACUAAAACAGGAACAAUACAGAGAAGAUUAGCAUGGCCCCUACACAAGGAUGACACUCAAACUUGUGAAGUUUCUACACUUUUC
Nomascus leucogenys (northern white-cheeked gibbon) is the source of this 106-nucleotide small nuclear RNA. NCBI's taxonomy places the organism in Eukaryota, Metazoa, Chordata, Mammalia, Primates, Hylobatidae. The record is from Ensembl.